GGUCUUAGUUCGGAUUGGAGUCUGUAACCCGACUCCAUGAAGUUGGAUUCGCUAGUAAUCGCGCAUCAGCCAUGGCGCGGUGAAUACGUUCCCGGGCCUUGUACACACCGCCCGUCAAGCCAUGGAAGCCGGGGGUGCCUGAAGUCCGUAACCGCGAGGAUCGGCCUAGGGCAAAACUGGUAACUGGGGCUAAGUCGUAACAAGGUACC
This 209-nucleotide ribosomal RNA is filed under the name uncultured bacterium. Its description in RNAcentral is "partial 16S ribosomal RNA". It matches the Rfam family "Bacterial small subunit ribosomal RNA", at positions 1284 to 1500 of the family's 1533-position model. The record is from RNAcentral.